RNAcentral lists this ribosomal RNA (253 nucleotides) under uncultured bacterium. RNAcentral describes it as "partial 16S ribosomal RNA". It matches the Rfam family "Bacterial small subunit ribosomal RNA", at positions 524 to 776 of the family's 1533-position model. The record is from RNAcentral.
GACGUAGGGCGCGAGCGUUGUCCGGAUUUAUUGGGCGUAAAGAGCUCGUAGGCGGCUUGUCGCGUCGAAUGUGAAAUCUCAGGGCUCAACUCUGACAUUGCAUUCGAUACGGGCAGGCUCGAGUUCGGUAGGGGAGACUGGAAUUCCUGGUGUAGCGGUGAAAUGCGCAGAUAUCAGGAAGAACACCAAUGGCGAAAGCAGCUUUCUGGGACGGUACUGACGCUGAGACGCGAAAGCGUGGGGAGCGAACAGG